CCUACGGGUGACAGCAGUGGGGAAUAUUGCACAAUGGGGGAAACCCUGAUGCAGCGACGCCGCGUGAGCGAUGAAGUAUUUCGGUAUGUAAAGCUCUAUCAGCCGGGAAGAAAAUGACGGUACCUGACUAAGAAGCCCCGGCUAACUACGUGCCAGCAGCCGCGGUAAUACGGAGGGGGCCAGCGUUAUCCGGAUUUACCGGGGGUAAAGGGGUCGUAGUGGGCUGUGCAAGUCUGAAGUGAAAGCCCGUGGCUCAACCGCGGAACUGCUGUGGAAACUGUAUAGCUUGAGUGCUGGAGUGGCAGGCGGAAUGCGUAGUGUAGCGGUGAAAUGCGUAGAUAUUAGGAGGAACACCAGUGGCGAAGGCGGCCUACUGGACAGAAACUGACGUUGAGGCUCGAAAGCGUGGGGAGCGAACAGGAUUAGAUACCCGGGUAGUC
Molecule: ribosomal RNA, 440 nt
Filed under: uncultured bacterium
Lineage: Bacteria
Description: partial 16S ribosomal RNA
Rfam family: Bacterial small subunit ribosomal RNA
Source: RNAcentral